UAUUCUGAGGUCUAGGGGUAAUAUCCCAG
RNAcentral lists this small RNA (29 nucleotides) under Bombyx mori (domestic silkworm). RNAcentral's name for it is "ovarian small RNA-24171". The record is from RNAcentral. Lineage: Eukaryota; Metazoa; Arthropoda; Insecta; Lepidoptera; Bombycidae.